GAGGGUCCGAGCGUUAUCCGGAUUUAUUGGGUUUAAAGGGUGCGUAGGCGGUUUUAUAAGUCAGCGGUGAAAUUCUCCGGCUCAACCGGGGGACUGCCGUUGAUACUGUAAGGCUAGGAUAUGGUUGCUGUGGGUGGAAUGUGUGGUGUAGCGGUGAAAUGCUUAGAGAUCACACAGAAUAUCGAUUGCGAAGGCAGCUCACAAAGCCAUUAUUGACGCUGAGGCACGAAAGUGUGGGGAUCAAACAGGA
RNAcentral lists this ribosomal RNA (250 nucleotides) under uncultured bacterium. RNAcentral describes it as "partial 16S ribosomal RNA". It matches the Rfam family "Bacterial small subunit ribosomal RNA", at positions 528 to 777 of the family's 1533-position model. The record is from RNAcentral.